CCUACGGGAGGCAGCAGUGGGGAAUAUUGCACAAUGGGGGAAACCCUGAUGCAGCGACGCCGCGUGAGUGAAGAAGUAAUUCGUUAUGUAAAGCUCUAUCAGCAGGGAAGAAAAUGACGGUACCUGAGUAAGAAGCCCCGGCUAACUACGUGCAAGCAGCCGCGGUAAUACGUAGGGGGCAAGCGUUAUCCGGAUUUACUGGGUGUAAAGGGAGCGUAGACGGCAGUGCAAGUCUGGAGUGAAAGGCGGGGGCGCAACCCCCGGACUGCUCUUGAAACUGUACGGCUGGAGUGCAGGAGAGGUAAGUGGAAUGCCUAGUGUAGCGGUGAAAUGCGUAGAUAUUAGGAAGAACACCAGUGGCGAAGGCGGCUUACUGGACUGUAACUGACGUUGAGGCUCGAAAGCGUGGGGAGCAAACAGGAUUAGAUACCCGGGUAGUC
Molecule: ribosomal RNA, 440 nt
Filed under: uncultured bacterium
Lineage: Bacteria
Description: partial 16S ribosomal RNA
Rfam family: Bacterial small subunit ribosomal RNA
Source: RNAcentral